RNAcentral lists this ribosomal RNA (254 nucleotides) under uncultured bacterium. RNAcentral describes it as "partial 16S ribosomal RNA". It matches the Rfam family "Bacterial small subunit ribosomal RNA", at positions 524 to 776 of the family's 1533-position model. The record is from RNAcentral.
UACAGAGGGUGCAAGCGUUAAUCGGAGUUACUGGGCGUAAAGGGCGCGUAGGCGGUCCUACAAGUGAGAUGUGAAAUCCCCGGGCUUAACCUGGGAACUGCAUCUUAUACUGUAGGGCUGGAGUACUGUAGAGGAUAGUGGAAUUUCCGGUGUAGCGGUGAAAUGCGUAGAGAUCGGAAGGAACGCCAGUGGCGAAAAGCGGCUUCCUGGUCCAGCACCGACGUUCAGGCACGAAAGCGUGGGGAGCAAACAGG